Molecule: ribosomal RNA, 1354 nt
Filed under: Allobrachymonas denitrificans
Lineage: Bacteria; Pseudomonadati; Pseudomonadota; Betaproteobacteria; Burkholderiales; Comamonadaceae
Description: Brachymonas denitrificans 16S ribosomal RNA
Rfam family: Bacterial small subunit ribosomal RNA
Source: RNAcentral
GACGAGUGGCGAACGGGUGAGUAAUGUAUCGGAACGUGCCCAGUAGUGGGGGAUAACUACUCGAAAGAGUGGCUAAUACCGCAUGAGAACUGAGGUUGAAAGCGGGGGACCUUCGGGCCUCGCGCUACUGGAGCGGCCGAUAUCAGAUUAGGUAGUUGGUGGGGUAAAGGCCUACCAAGCCGACGAUCUGUAGCUGGUCUGACGAGGACGACCAAGCCACACUGGGACUGAGACACCGGCCCUUGACUCCUACUGGAGGCAGCAGUGGGCGAAUUUUGGACAAUGGAUGUCAAGUCUGAUCCAGCAAUGCCGCGUGCAGGACGAAGGCCUUCGGGUUGUAAACUGCUUUUGUACAGAACGAAAAGGCUCUGGUUAAUACCUGGGGCUCAUGACGGUACUGUAAGAAUAAGCACCGGCUAACUACGUGCCAGCAGCCGCGGUAAUACGUAGGGUGCGAGCGUUAAUCGGAAUUACUGGGCGUAAAGCGUGCGCAGGCGGUUUUGUAAGACCGAUGUGAAAUCCCCGGGCUCAACCUGGGAACUGCAUUGGUGACUGCGAGGCUGGAGUGCGGCAGAGGGGGAUGGAAUUCCGCGUGUAGCAGUGAAAUGCGUAGAUAUGCGGAGGAACACCGAUGGCGAAGGCAAUCCCCCUGGGCCCGCACUGACGCUCAUGCACGAAAGCGUGGGGAGCAAACAGGAUUAGAUACCCUGGUAGUCCACGCCCUAAACGAUGUCAACUGGUUGUUGGGUAUUUGCUUACUCAGUAACGAAGCUAACGCGUGAAGUUGACCGCCUGGGGAGUACGGCCGCAAGGUUCAAACUCAAAGGAAUUGACGGGGACCCGCACAAGCGGUGGAUGAUGUGGUUUUAUUUCGAUGCAACGCGAAAAACCUUACCCACCUUUGACAUGGCAGCGAGGUGCGGAGAAGAUUUGAGAGGUGCUCGGGAGGAGAACAUGCACACAGGUGCUGCAUGGCUGUCGAUCAGCUCGUGUCGUGAGAUGGUUGGGUUAAGUCCCGCAACGAGCGCAAGCCCUUGCCAUUAGUUGCUACAAAAGGGGCACUCUAAUGGGACUGCCGGUGACAAACCGGAGGAAGGUGGGGAUGACGUACAAGUCCUCAUGGCCCUUAUAGGUGGGGCUUACACACGGUCAUACAAUGGCCGGUACAAAGGGUAGCCAACCCGCGAGGGGGAGCCAAUCCCAUAAAGCCGGUCGUAGUCCGGAUCGCAGUCUGCAACUCGACUGCGUGAAGUCGGAAUCGCUAGUAAUCGUGGAUCAGCAUGUCACGGUGAAUACGUUCCCGGGUCUUGUACACACCGCCCGUCACACCAUGGGAGCGGGUUCUGCCAGAAGU